GACUACGACCUCAGAUCAGACGAGACAACCCGCUGAAUUUAAG
Molecule: ribosomal RNA, 43 nt
Filed under: Centropristis philadelphica (rock sea bass)
Lineage: Eukaryota; Metazoa; Chordata; Actinopteri; Perciformes; Serranidae
Also listed under: 1 other name
Description: partial large subunit ribosomal RNA
Source: RNAcentral